AGAGUUUGAUCCUGGCUCAGGAUGAACGCUGGCGGCGUGCUUAACACAUGCAAGUCGAACGGGAAUUACUUUAUUGAAACUUCGGUCGAUUUAAUUUAAUUCUAGUGGCGGACGGGUGAGUAACGCGUGGGUAACCUGCCUUAUACAGGGGGAUAACAGUCAGAAAUGGCUGCUAAUACCGCAUAAGCGCACAGAGCUGCAUGGCUCAGUGUGAAAAACUCCGGUGGUAUAAGAUGGACCCGCGUUGGAUUAGCUUGUUGGCAGGGUAACGGCCUACCAAGGCGACGAUCCAUAGCCGGCCUGAGAGGGUGAACGGCCACAUUGGGACUGAGACACGGCCUAGACUCCUACGGGAGGCAGCAGUGGGGAAUAUUGCACAAUGGGGGAAACCCUGAUGCAGCGACGCCGCGUGAAGGAAGAAGUAUCUCGGUAUGUAAACUUCUAUCAGCAGGGAAGAUAGUGACGGUACCUGACUAAGAAGCCCCGGCUAACUACGUGCCAGCAGCCGCGGUAAUACGUAUGGAGCAAGCGUUAUCCGGAUUUACUGGGUGUAAAGGGUGCGUAGGUGGCAGUGCAAGUCAGAUGUGAAAGGCCGGGGCUCAACCCCGGAGCUGCAUUUGAAACUGCGCGGCUAGAGUACAGGAGAGGCAGGCGGAAUUCCUAGUGUAGCGGUGAAAUGCGUAGAUAUUAGGAGGAACACCAGUGGCGAAGGCGGCCUGCUGGACUGUUACUGACACUGAGGCACGAAAGCGUGGGGAGCAAACAGGAUUAGAUACCCUGGUAGUCCACGCCGUAAACGAUG
This 802-nucleotide ribosomal RNA is filed under the name uncultured bacterium. RNAcentral's name for it is "bacterial SSU rRNA". It matches the Rfam family "Bacterial small subunit ribosomal RNA", at positions 8 to 811 of the family's 1533-position model. The record is from RNAcentral.